Molecule: long non-coding RNA, 210 nt
Filed under: Prunus persica (peach)
Lineage: Eukaryota; Viridiplantae; Streptophyta; Magnoliopsida; Rosales; Rosaceae
Description: long non-coding RNA (PPER_LNC000099)
Source: RNAcentral
CAAUCCCAAAGUAAUAGCUAAUUAUUUGUUUCUUCACAGAAACAUAAGAGCUUUCAUCAUUUUUCCUCAUUCUCUCAUCUCUUUCUUUGUCCUUCACUUAUUCACUCUCUUCUAUGGUCUUUGUUGUUGUUUGUUUGCUAAUUAAAUGACUUCCAUUUUUAUUUCUACUGAUUUGUGUUUUUCUGGGGGUGGUUUGUUGUACUUACUUUU